Molecule: non-coding RNA, 4220 nt
Organism: Homo sapiens (human)
Lineage: Eukaryota; Metazoa; Chordata; Mammalia; Primates; Hominidae
Source: RefSeq, a predicted model, not a curated record
GGAAUAGUGAGGGGCCUGUCACUAAGAAACCUGUCCCUGAGCAACGCAUAGGAGGGGUGGAACCCAGCAGCGCUGACUGAGCCGCCGCGAAGUGCCGGAACGUAUUACCUGGGAGCCAAAUUUCAGAGCGUCGUUUGUCUUCCCAAGCCCACCAGCUUUCAGCGUUCUCCAGCCUCGCCACACCCCCGCCUCGGGCCGUCCCCGCCCAGACGCUUGUCCCCGCGAGAAGCUGAGCGCACUGAAGUGAGCCCGGCGGCUGCCGCCGGAGGAGGAGCCCGGCUCUGGACACGGCCGUCAGGAAGCUCAGAGGCUGCAGCACCGCUUCUGCGUUGAUUUCCGCUUGACUUUUACUCUUUUCUUGGGUUAAAAAUCAAACGCCGACCCGAGGCGUCAGAGAUGGGCGGUCGUUAGGCGCAGUGGCGGCCCCCGGAUGUUUGCGAUGGGACGGCGGGCUCGGAACGUGUGGACGUGGGCUUUGGAGACAGCGUCUCACCCUGUCGCCCAGGCUGGAGUGCAACGGCACAAUCUCGGCUCACUGCAACCUCCACCUCCAGGGUUCAAGCAAUUCCCCUGCCUCAGCUUCCCAAGUAGCUGGGAUUACAGGCACACACCACCACACCUGGCUAAUUUUUUGCAUCUUUGGUAGAGACGGGGUUUCACCAUGUUGGCCAGGCUGGUCUUGAUCUCCUGACCUCGUGAUCCAUCUGCCUUGGCCUCCCAAAGUACUGGGAUUACAGGCGUUAGCCACCGCGCCCUGCCUCACUAGUCUUUUCAAGAAAGAAGCUUUUAGAUGUGGAUUUAUUAUCUGUUAAUUCUCAUUUUCAUCUUCAUUAUUUCCUUUUUGCUACUUUUAUUUGGAUAUUUUCUAGGAUUCUUCCUAAUCUCUUGGGUUGGAUGCUUAACACUUACAUUUCCAUUGAUCCUGUUUUCCUAAUAGAGGCAUUUGGGGUAAUGCAUUUUCCAGUAAGUGCCACUUUAGAUUAUAUCCCAUUUUGUGUGGUGUCCUAUAUCAGUUAAACCCACCGUAUUCAUUGUAUAAAUCAAAUUUUUCAUAUACUUACUGUAUUAGUCCAUUUUCACGCUGCUGAUAAAGACAUACCCAAGACUGAGUAAUUUAUAAAGUAAAAGAGGUUUAAUGGACUCACAGUUCCAUGUGGCUGGGGAGGCCUCAUAAUCAUGGUGGGUGAAAGGCACUUCUGACAUGCUGGUGGCAAGAGAGAAUCAGAGCACCAAGCAAAAAGGAAACCCCUUGUCAAAUCACCAGAUCUCAUGAGACUUAUUCACUACCAUGAGAACAGUAUCAGGGAAACCACUCCCAAGAUUCAGUUAUCUCCCACUGGGUCCCUCCCACAAUAUGUGGGAAUUGUGGGAGCUGCAAUUCAAGAUGAGAUUUGGGUGGGGACAUAGCCAAAACAAGUUAUCUCCCACCAGGUCCCUCCCACAUGUGGGAAUUAAGGGAGCUGCAAUUCAAGAAGAGAUUUGGGUGGGGACACAGCCAAACCAGAUCACUUACCAAUUAUGUGCUGUCCUGCUCUAUCAAUUCCUAAGAAAAGUGUGCAAAAAUUUCCAAAUGGUAAUGUGGAUUUGUAGUUUAUUCCUCUAAUUGUCCUAUUUUGUAUAAUACAUUCUUUGGUCUAUGUUAAUUUGAAAUUUUGAACAUAGAAUCAUUAUAUCUUCAUAGAAAAUUGUACUUUUAUCCUUAUAUAAUGACCCUUUUUAUUCCUAACGAUGGUUUCCCUAAAGCUUAUGUUACCCAAUUAAUGUUUGCCAGGUAUAUAUUUUUCCACUCAUACUCACUUUUUAUAACAUUUUUAUGCAUUUAUUUUAUAAACAUAUACAUGGAAUAUUUUAAAGCAUAAUGCGACAUUCUGCUUUUAAACCGAUGAGUUUAUAUGAUUUGUGAUUAUUGAUACAGUUGGCUGGGUGCGGUGGCUCACGCCUGUAAUCCCAGCAUUUUGGGAAGCCGAGGUGGGCAGAUUACUAGGUCAGGAGAUCGAGACCAUCCUGGCUAACAUGGUGAACCCCCAUCUCUACUAAAAAUACAAAAAAUUAGCCGGGUGUGGUGGUGGGUGCCUGUAAUCCCAGCUACUCAGGAGGCUGAGGCAGGAGAAUGGCGUGAACCCGUGAGGCAGAGCUUGCAGUGAGCCAAGAUGGCACCACUGCACUCCAGCCUGGGCGACAGAGCGAGACUCCGUCUCAAAAAAAAAAAAAAAAAAAAAAAAGAUUAUUGAUACAGUUAUGUUUAUUUCUAUCAUUUUACUUUUUGCUUUCCAUUGGCCUUGUGUUUUUUGUCCCUUAUUAUUUUCUAUCUUCUUUUGGAUUUAAUCAAGCUUUCUCACUUCCAUUUUCAAUAUCUAUUCUUUAAGUGUUAAUGUUAAGGUGUUUGCUAUGUAUACAAGACUUAACAAAGUCUAAAGGUAAUCACUUAAUCUGCUCUCUCCAUAACCAACAGAGAGGCAUCCCAAUUUUUUUUUUUUUUUUGAGGCAGAGUUUUGCUCUUCUUGCCCAGGCUGGAGUGCGAUGGCGCGAUCUCAACUCACUGCAACCUCUUCCUCCCAGGUUCAAGCAUUUCUCCUGCCUCAGCCUCCUGAGUAGCUGGGAUGACAGGUGCCUGACACCACGCCCAGCUAAUUUUUGUAUUUUUAGUAGAGACUGGGGUUUCUCCAUGUUGGUCGGGCUGGUCUCGAACUCCUGACCUCAGGUGAUCCACCAGCCUCGGCCUCCCAAAGUGCUGGGAUUACAGGUGUGAGCCACCACGCCUGGCUCCAAUUUUUUUUUUUUUUUUUUUGAGACAGAGUUUUCACUCUUGUUGCCCAGGCUGGAAUGCAGUGGCACAGUCUUGGCUCACUACAACUUCCACCUCCCAGGUUCAAGCGAUUCUCCUGCCUCAGCCUCCCAAGUAGCUGGAAUUACACACACCCACCACCACAGCUGGCUAAUUUUUUGUAUUUAGUAGAGAGAGGGUUUCACCAUGUUGGUCUGGCUGGUCUGGAAUUCCUGACCUCAGGUGAUCUGUCUGCCUUGGCCUCCCAAAGUGCUGGGAUUACAGGCGUGAGCCACUGCACCCAGCGUCCCAACAUUUUUAUCUCUGAUCAUCCUGAACACAUACCAUGUUACUCACUGUUUUAGUUCUGCGUUAUUUUUGUUGCAUAACCAGUAACAUAACAUUAUUAUUGUUAGUUUACAUAGCCAAUACUAGUUUAGGUUCACAUGUAUUACCUCUUGGCUUCACCCACUACUUUUCUCUGAUGGCAAUCUUUGGAAGUUCCUUCAUUGAGGGUUUAUUAGUGGUAAACUCUUUAUCUUUGCUGUGGUGCAGUGUCUAGAAUUUUUGUUAAGUGAAGGUUUUACAUUUAAAUCUUCAUCUAUUAAGUUUGAAUAUGGGAUGAGUUAUGGAUUGAGGUUCAUUUGUUUUGUAUAUUGACUUUCAAUUGUUGCAGCACCAUUUUUUUAAACCACUAUUUUCAUUGAUUUGCCCUUGCAACUUUGUCAAAAAUCAAUUGACCAUAUACACGAAGGUCUAUUUAUGUAUUCUCAAUUAUGGUCCAUGAUCUAUGUGUUUAUCCUUUCUCUGACACAAUGUUUAGAUUGCUGUAUCUUUACAGUAAGUUUCGAAGUCAGGGAGUGCGAGUCUUCCAGCUCUGUUCCUCUUUGACAAAAGAUGUUUUGGCUAUUCUAGUUUCUUCUGCUUUUCCAAAUAAAUUUGAUUAACUUGUUAAUGUCUACAAAAACUCCUGCUGGAAUUUCCAUUGGGAUCGCAAUAAAUUUAUAGGUAAAUCUAGAGAGAACUGACAUUCUACUAUUUAUUGUUCCAAACCACAAAUAUGAUACAUAUUUCCAUUUAUUUAGGAUUUGGAUUUCCCUUAUUUCUCUCAUAAGCGUUUUGACGUUUUCAACAUACAGAUCUUUUAUAACAACACUUACCCACUUCCCACCAUUCUACCCCCAUUCCUAAACCUUGGCAACACAAGAAUCUGUCCUCCAUUAAAAAUGUUAUGAUUUCAGAAAUGUUAUAUAAAUGGAAUAAUACAAUAUGCAACCUUAUGGGACUGAUUUCUUGCAUUUGGUGUACUUCUCUAGAGAUUAAUCCAAGUUUUUGUGUGUAUCAGUAGUCCAUUUAUUUUCCUGAAUAGCAUUCCAUAUGUGUGUGCCACAAUUUGUUUAACCAUUUACCUUAUUCUCAGUUUUUGGCUGUUCAAAUAAACUGAUAUUAAUCUGUG